Molecule: ribosomal RNA, 2308 nt
Filed under: Orthotylinae gen. ZANCGEN1 sp. Msp458
Lineage: Eukaryota; Metazoa; Arthropoda; Insecta; Hemiptera; Miridae
Description: partial large subunit ribosomal RNA
Rfam family: Eukaryotic large subunit ribosomal RNA
Source: RNAcentral
UAGUAAGCGGAGGAAAAGAAACUAACCAGGAUUCCCUUAGUAGCUGCGAGCGAACAGGGAAGAGCCCAGCACUGAAUCCCCGAGGCCUAGCUUCGAGGGAAAUGUGGUGUUUGGGAGGGUUCAUAUACCUGAUACUGUCGCACUGCGUCCAAGUCCAUCUUGAAUGAGGCCACGGUCCCGAGAGGGUGCCAGGCCCGUAGCUGGCCGGUGCUGGUGUUGGGUGAACCUCUCCUUAGAGUCAGGUUGCUUGAGAGUGCAGCCCUAAGCGGGUGGUAAACUCCAUCUAAGGCUAAAUACAACCACGAGACCGAUAGCGAACAAGUACCGUGAGGGAAAGUUGAAAAGAACUUUGAAGAGAGAGUUCAAGAGUACGUGAAACCGCUCAGGGGUAAACGGAAAAGACCCGAAAUUUCCGAAAGGGGAGAUUCACGUCUUCUCGCUGACUCAACUCUCUGACCAACGUCGACGGUUCUAUGCCUCAUUCGAACUUGUUCGGAGCGAGUGGUGGAGCCGCCGUGGUCGGGGUUGUGGGGUCGCGGCAGACCGCACUUCUCCCCUAGUAGGACGUCGUGACCCGUCCGGUCAUGGUCUAAGAGUGUGUAUGGGAGCCUGUUCGUGCUAUUUCGGUAGUCAUGAGCAGACCUUCGCAUUUCUGGCCAUGAAUGCUCCGGUCGGUAUCAAAAGACAGUGUCGAACCGCUCCGCUGAGGGAGAAAUCCCUUUUCGAGAGCGCGAUUGGUCCUUGGCAAGGUGUCGAGUCGCGUUUGUCAAGUCGGGCCUUUGUCCGUCUGACUGCUCUCGUGCCUGUUGGUCGAGGUACUCUAUCGCCGGUUGAAAGAAAUGGCACUAGUCUACGGCGAAUCAGUUUUGGGCUCUUGUCCGACCCGUCUUGAAACACGGACCAAGGAGUUUAGCGUGUGCGCGAGUCAUUGAGUGAAAAAACUCAAAGGCGUAAUGAAAGUGAAGGGAACUUUACGUUUCUGAGGGAGGAUGAGUGUGCUCUUCACGGGGCCGCUCCGCACUCCCGGGGCGUCUCUAUCUCAUUGCGAGAGGAGGCGCACCUAGAGCGUACACGCUGAUACCCGAAAGAUGGUGAACUAUGCCUGGCCAGGACGAAGCCAGGGGAAACCCUGGUGGAGGUCCGCAGCGAUUCUGACGUGCAAAUCGAUCGUCGGAGCUGGGUUUAGGGGCGAAAGACCAAUCGAACCAUCUAGUAGCUGGUUCCCUCUGAAGUUUCCCUCAGGAUAGCUUGCGCUCGGACGAGACGAGUCUCAUCCGGUAGAGCGAAAUGAUUAGAGGCCUUGGGGUCGAAACGACCUCAAACCUAUUCUCAAACUCCAAAUAGAUGAGAACCCUGGCUUUCUUAAACUAUGAAGCCAAGGGGUUUCGGAUCAGAGUGCCAAGUGGGCCAAUUUUGGUAAGCAGAACUGGCGCUGUGGGAUGAACCAAACGCGGAGUUAAGGCGCCUCAAUCGACGCUCAUGUGAGACCAUGAAAGGCGUUGGUUGCUUAAGACAGCAGGACGGUGGCCAUGGAAGUCGGAAUCCGCUAAGGAGUGUGUAACAACUCACCUGCCGAAGCAACUAGCCCUGAAAAUGGAUGGCGCUGUAGCGUCGUGCCUAUACUCCGCCGUCAACGGCAACGCAGGCAGCUCCCUCACGGGAGCGGCGCUGUUAAGCCUUGACGAGUAAGAGGGCCGCGGCGACGUGCGCAGAAGGGUUUUGGGCGUGAGCCUGCCUGGAGCCGUCGUCGGUGCAGAUCUUGGUGGUAGUAGCAAAUACUCCAGCGAGGCCCUGGAGGACUGAUGUGGAGAAGGGUUUCUUGUGAACAGCUGUUGCACAAGAGUCAGUCGAUCCUAAGCCCUAGGAGAAAUCCGAAGCGAUGGGUUGCCGUUAAAUGUCACAAGCUUGAUGUUGGCACCAUUUGGGCGAAAGGGAAUCUGGUUCCUAUUCCAGAACCUGGCAGUGGAACCGUUCCAAAUCGGGCCCUCAUUGAGGACUCGUCAGGGCAACCUGAAAGGACCCGGAGACGCCGUCGGGAGAUUCAGGGAGAGUUGUCUCUUCUCUAUAAGCGAUCGAGUUCCCUGGAAACCUCUAGCAGGGAGAUAGGGUUUGGAUCGCGAAGAGCACCGCAGUUACGGCGGUGUCCGAAUCUUCCCCACGGACCUUGAAAAUCCGGGAGAGGGCCACGAGGAACCCCACGCCAGAUCGUACCCAUAUCCGCAGCAGGUCUCCCAGGUGAAAAGCCUCUAGUCGAUAGACUAUGGUGUGGGAGAAAGAAAAAAUACAAAAUAUAUGUGUGUUUGUUCUU